Brassica rapa (field mustard) is the source of this 2067-nucleotide long non-coding RNA. RefSeq lists it as uncharacterized. The record is from RefSeq and is a predicted model, not a curated record. Lineage: Eukaryota; Viridiplantae; Streptophyta; Magnoliopsida; Brassicales; Brassicaceae.
AACAAAGAAAGUCACUUUCCCAAAUUCCCAAUUCACGAACCCUAAUCUUAUUUGUUAGAUUUUCUAUGGUUGCAAUUCAUUGUCAUUUUCUCACCCUAAUCCAUUUCAGUCCCUCACUCCGUAAAUCAUUCGCGAAUCAAAAUCAUUUUCUUCUCCACAUUUAUCUGUUUCGUAGCGGUAGUCUCUGAGCCACCGGCCCACCGUCGAACAAAGCCCCCACACCUGCUCCCGUGAGCAACAGAUUUCUAAAUGCAAGAUAUUGUGGAUGUGCUGGAGCUAUCACAGCACCAAGAUGUCUCGUGAAACUACACAAAGAAGAAAGUUUUGAAUGGAAGAUUUUAAUGAGAGCAAGAAAGAGUAAAGAUAAGUUUACGCCGUGGAAGAAGUUAGAUGGUAACGAGUUCGGUAUACAAAACUCCAUGAAUCUACACGUAUGGUUCCCAAUAAGCUCAGGAAAAGAGGUACCUCUUAGUUUUUCCCAGGCUUUGACUUAGGCUUCUGGUUAGCUUAUAUAGUGUGUCUAAACAAUUUUUAUUAGCGUACGUUAGAAAGCUUAUGUUUUUGUAAUUGUUAGUCGAAUAUGGACCUGGCAAAUCUCUUUAGAUUGCUUUAUCCAGUUUUUUUCUGUUUGAUGGAGAAAGAAAUAUGAUAUCCAUGUCCAUAGUUUUUGUGUCCAUGUCCAUAAUUAUAUUAUAACUAUAUUAUCCACAAUAAGGUAUCAAUAUGGUAUGCAUAAAGUACUUGUCCACAUAUACUAAAAAAUUAUGUAAGAUGAUUAAGAAUAUAAAAACUUGUCCAAGAAAACACAUCAAUGAAACUUAGUUCAUGAAACCUCAUCCACGAAAAUUUUAAAGAGAUUUUCUAUAUUUUUUAUCCAUCCAUGUCCACAUCUUUUUAUGUUCACGUAUUUUUCUUACAUGUUCACAAUUUUGCAUCCACACUUCUUAUGUCUAUACAUUUUUUUAUAUAAUUGUUGAAAUAUAUAAAAUAUAUAUAUGAAAAUGGAUGUUAAAAUAUAGAGAAAAACAAAUUACAAUUUAUUGUAAUAAUUAUACUUUCUUCAAAUGUCUUAAACUCUGAGAAAAAAAACAAAUAAAAACAUAAGAACUUUGCAAAAAGAACAAAGAAAAAGUUGAGAAAAAAUAAAUAAAAUAAAAAAAAUGCAGCCAUCCUCUAGUUUUUCUGAACCAAACGUGAAGGGUACUGCUGUAAAACCACAAGGGGUGGAAGAGGACAAUGUGUCCCUCAAGUGGAAAGUGCUUUAUCUUGUAAAAAAAGAGAAUAAUGUGUCUGAUGAUGUAACGCACUCUUAUAUUAGCUAUUCUAGUUGUACAGUUGACAAGAAAAACAUAAAUUAUCAUUCAAUGGAUAACGGUGGCGGAUAAAUCUGAACAGAAUUUUACCAAAGCUGACGUGUCCAAAAUCAGACCACAGAUCCAUCUUUUGAUUCGUCAAUACCACUCACAAAGGCAACCCCCAACCACAAAACCUUGACUUCAAAAGAGAAGGUUUGGCUCUGAACCCUAGCCACCAAAUCUAUGAAUAAUGUUUGUAAACCUCAUCCACCACAACUAUUAUUCAUUGUGUGAUUAAACUUGUAAUAUGUUGUGAUUAGUUUAUUUUCUAUAACAUUAUAUAUAUAUAUUUUUUUUUUCUUUAAAAUAUAAUAUUAUGUAUAACACUGUAAUAUGUUGUAUUAGUUGUAUUAGUUAUAAAAUUUAAUAUAAAAUUAUUUGUUUUAACAGUUAUUAGUUGUAUUAGUUGUACUAGUUGUAUUAUUUUUGAAAAAAAUGCAUUUUUAUUUUUUUUGUUCUCGAAACCGAAGAAGACAUCUACGGAGCCAAAAGGUUGCAGUAGAAGAAGAUUCAAAAUUCUUUUUUUUCAAAAAAAAAAAAAUCAUAAAGAAGCCAGCACGAUCAAGGUGAAGAGAAUGAACAAGCAUUCAUGAUUGGAUUUGGACUUGUGUUGGAACCACUUACUCUUUGUUUUUUGUUUCAGAUUUAUUGUAGUUUAAAGACAUGUAGUGUAUUUUUACACUUAAGUUAUAUUGUAUUUUUUGACAAAUGA